GAAGAAUUCGAAUGCGCGUUCUAAGAAUUCCAACGUUCAACAGCCAGCUGAUACGUGAUUGGUCAGUUUUGCGCUGUGGGCGAAGCUUCUCGUAGUUGAAAAAUUCACUAGCUAGCGGUUGUUUAUUUCCGUCACGGUUGUUUUUGGAGCAAAAUAAAACUGAUUUGUCAGGAAAUCUUUGUUUGACUCGUGAAUAUUUCCUGCUGGACGAAUCAUUACUGGUCGUUUGGUGAACCAGAGAUUCGUUUUUUUUUAAAUCAGGGUCGAUUUAAAUACAUUUACAGGAUUCAGAGGAUAGAUACACGGAGAAUGUGAUGCGACUGAGAGAAGAAACCUCCAAGCACCACAAGAAAAGGACCAUUUGCUAUCGCUGAGCUUUCCGGAUGUCUGUUCUCAGAUCCUGCGGUUUGACGUCUCCUCAGCAGAACCAGAAGGGCAUCCACAGAAGUGAACGCAUCGCGGCACCAGCGGCCAUUCCUGCCAGGAGACCCAGUGCAAUCUGCUCUCCAAAGCCGUCCUCAUAAGAGUCUCUGUGCACCCACACAUGCUGAGUCCCUGCAGAGAC
RNAcentral lists this long non-coding RNA (565 nucleotides) under Danio rerio (zebrafish). RNAcentral describes it as "si:ch211-183b15.5 (ENSDARG00000097502.2)". The record is from RNAcentral. Lineage: Eukaryota; Metazoa; Chordata; Actinopteri; Cypriniformes; Danionidae.